CCUCACCACCCCCUGGGUGUAUCGUAAUUCAUAUUCUCCAAUGGGACACCUCCAUAGCCAAGAGGCAUCAAUCAUGCUCUCCAGUUAGAAUUUUGCCUGGCAGAAACUUCGGUCGCCUAGUUACUAUCUUUGAAAACAUUUGUGGAAUGCACUUUCGGUUUUGCAAGCUGCUGCACUGCUCGCCCCUCCCUUUCUGUUGGCAACUCUAAAAAGACCAUAGAAAUAUUGACAAAGAAGACUGCUAUCGUGUCACCCCUAGUCUUUCUUUUCACAUAAGACUUUGGUUGGUUCUUUGUGGGUCCUUUGAGCAGGGAAGAUAGGAUUUGGGACACACAGUAACAUUUUGGGCAGAGCCAAGUAGCUGGCAGUCCCUGGGAACUCAAAAUACAGGCUUUUCAUUCUUGUAUAUAUAACAGUGAAUGGCUGUCUUGUUGUUCACAUCUCUUUCCCCCCCACCCAAUUACAAUAAUACUUUAUUUAUAGGAGACCCUUGUCUUUCUCCACCUAUGCCUUCCCCGAACGGACGAAGGAGCUGAGGCCUGGGGCAAACUUUUUAAUACCUUUCUGUUUGCUUCUGCUUAUAGCCCAAGCUGACUCCGCAGGAGAAACUCAAGCUCCGAAUGCAGAGGGCGCUUAACCGGCAAUGUAAGCACCUUCGGGGUGGGCGCAGGGCAGCGGCUGGGACCGAUCUGGUCCAGGGGACUCCUCUCCCUUUCCCUCUUUUCUCCUCCCCCCACCCUACCCCCCCAAAACUCACUGUUCUGCUCUGCCUCUUCAGUUAAAGCAGACAAGAAAGCAGCCCAGGAGAAGAUGAUGCAACAGGAACACGAAAGACAGGAACGAGAGGAUGAGUUGCGUGCCAUGGCUCGGAAGAUCCGGAUGAAGGAGCGGGAACGGCGGGAGAAGGAGCGGGAAGAGUGGGAGCGACAGUACAGCCGCCACAGCCGCUCGCCUUCUCCGCGCUACAGUAAGUGCUACCUGAAGGACAAAAUGUUUGAAAUGGUGUGGUGCCAGACUCAAGUG
This 1023-nucleotide long non-coding RNA is filed under the name Notechis scutatus (mainland tiger snake). RNAcentral describes it as "lncRNA (ENSNSUG00000004430.1)". The record is from RNAcentral. Lineage: Eukaryota; Metazoa; Chordata; Lepidosauria; Squamata; Elapidae.